AAAAACUUUACCGUAUGGACAGAAAAAUCAAGACAGAUCCAUCACCAGAUGGAUGCUCCAUCUCACAGCCUGGAAGUUUCACCUCUUCCACUUCUGACUGAAUGUAAAGGACAUCAAUGAUGGAGAUUUUCUUAGUCCUGCCUGAGAUAUUGCUGGUGUAUAGUUUGUUGAGGAGCAAGUCCAGUUGAUGUGUUUAUGAACAAUGAGUCAACGACCAACAAAGAAAUUCAAUGCAAGUGAAGCCCUGGCUGAAAUAAUGAAGGAGUUGUCGGAUUUCAAUACAUCAGACAACUCAAAUGAAGAGGACAAUGAUGAUGGAAGAGACACUGUGUUAAGUGAUGAGGAAACAAAAAUUGAUGAUGAAACAGCCCCGUGGAGAUGCAGCAAAUAUAGUUAAGAAACGACGCUGUCACAUGUGCCCAAGGGCAAAGGACAGAAAGGUAAAGGCCGCUUGCUCCCAGUGCAAACUUCCGGUUUGCCAGGAACAUUCAGAGCGUUUCCUUGUGUGUCUGGCCUGCAAACAAGUUGAAGUUGAGGCAGAUUCUGAGUGACUGUUCUGUAUGCGAA
This is a long non-coding RNA of Polypterus senegalus (gray bichir), 567 nucleotides long. RefSeq lists it as uncharacterized. The transcript is spliced from 3 exons. Lineage: Eukaryota; Metazoa; Chordata; Cladistia; Polypteriformes; Polypteridae. The record is from RefSeq and is a predicted model, not a curated record.